Molecule: small nucleolar RNA, 107 nt
Organism: Pistacia vera
Lineage: Eukaryota; Viridiplantae; Streptophyta; Magnoliopsida; Sapindales; Anacardiaceae
Source: RefSeq, a predicted model, not a curated record
AAACCAUGCUGUGGACAACUCCUCAAUAGUUUCUUGUAUCUUUCCCAAGCCUCAUAUAAUGAUUCAGACUCUUCUUGUAGAAAUGAUGCGAUAUCAUUUCUUAUCUU